Molecule: ribosomal RNA, 111 nt
Filed under: pig gut metagenome
Source: RNAcentral
UGGUGACCAUAAAGGAGUAGCAACACCCGUUCCCAUACCGAACACGGAAGUUAAGGGCUCCCUUGCCGAUGAUACUACCUUGUGAUGAGGUGGGAAAGUAGGUCGUCGCCA